Molecule: long non-coding RNA, 516 nt
Organism: Panicum virgatum (switchgrass)
Lineage: Eukaryota; Viridiplantae; Streptophyta; Magnoliopsida; Poales; Poaceae
Exons: 3
Source: RefSeq, a predicted model, not a curated record
CCGGCCGUGUUGACCUGACCUAUUAACCACCCACGCUUACCAUUUUCUUGCCGCACCGCAAGAAGCGUCCUCGGGGGGCACGUCCUUGAUCGGUGGCGCCUGCCUCUCGCCGCCGCUGCUGGUGCCUCUCCCCCACCACGCCGCAGAUUUUUUUUUCUUAUUUUUUCCUCCCGUCGGUUCUCGGAGGUUUCUCGCCGUCUCCUCCCCACGCGGUUCCUGAGGCAUGCGGAGCCAGAUCGUCUGCCACGGGUGCAGGAGCCUUUUACUCUACCCGAGAGGUGCUCCCAGCGUGUGCUGCGCGGUAUGCCACGCAGUCACCACCGUGCCACCUCCAGGAAUGGAGAUGGCUCGACUUAUUUGUGGUGGCUGCCAAACAUUAUUGAUGUAUACUCGCAAUGCAACAACUGUAAGAUGCUCAUGUUGUGACACAGUUAAUCUUGUCAGACCAGGUACUGAUGUAUGUGUAGGAUUAUCUUGCAGAUCCUUAAGCUUUUAAAUGCUAAAAUUUAAUAGUAG